Molecule: non-coding RNA, 418 nt
Organism: Microcebus murinus (gray mouse lemur)
Lineage: Eukaryota; Metazoa; Chordata; Mammalia; Primates; Cheirogaleidae
Source: RefSeq, a predicted model, not a curated record
UCAGGUCAUCCUCUAACAAUAAUUGUUCUCCUCUUGAAAAACAAUUCUUAGUCUGCUCCAGGUCUUACAUGAGGCUGAAGACUAAAUAAUAGUCCACAAAGUUACUAUGGUAGCUCAAGAUCCUAUCAUGAACUGGGUGCUUUCUGACUGAUCAAGCCAGACAGUUGUGCACACACAACAACAUUCCAUCAUUAAGCGCUGAAAGCCCUUAUAGAAAAGCUUCCUGCAGCAAUCAGUUUCCUUGCCUUUCUGCCUUCGGCCAUGUGAGGACACAGUGUUUCUCCCCUUUGAAGAAGUAUUCAAGGCAUCAUUGUGGAAGAAGAUACUGGACCUCCAUUAGGCAACCAAACCUGCCAUCAUCUUGAACUUCCCAGACCCCAAAACUAUAAGAAAAUGAAUUUCCUUUCUUUGUAGAUUA